Molecule: non-coding RNA, 308 nt
Organism: Escherichia coli str. K-12 substr. MG1655
Lineage: Bacteria; Pseudomonadati; Pseudomonadota; Gammaproteobacteria; Enterobacterales; Enterobacteriaceae
Source: Rfam
UAUGGCCGGAGCAGGAGUCCGUGCAGAAAACCUGCACCACUUCCUCGAUGCCGGAGUGCUGGAAGUCCAUAGCUCCGCGGGAGCGUGGCAAGCCUCACCGAUGCGUUAUCGUAAUCAAGGAUUGUCCAUGUCAUCAGAUGAACACGCGGACGAGUAUUCGCGUUAUAUCGUAGACGGGGCGGCGGUUGCUGAAAUGAAAGGAAUCAUUGAACGCCAUCAGGCCAAAUGAUUUUUACCGUUGCAUCAUGUCGCCCAAUAUGAUGCUUGCUCGUACCAGGCCCCUGCAAUUUCAACAGGGGCCUUUUUUU